RNAcentral lists this long non-coding RNA (6502 nucleotides) under Xyrichtys novacula (pearly razorfish). Lineage: Eukaryota; Metazoa; Chordata; Actinopteri; Labriformes; Labridae. The record is from RNAcentral.
UUUUCCUGUAAAUACGGCGGUGAAGUUAGUUUCAGGUUGGAUAUAUUUUCCUGUAAAUACGGCGGUGAAGUUAGUUUUAGGUUGGAUAUAUUUUCCUGUAAAUACGGCGGUGAAGUUAGUUUCAGGUUGGAUAUAUUUGCCUGUAAAUACGGCGGUGAAGUUAGUUUCAGGUUGGAUAUAUUUUCCUGUAAAUACGGCGGUGAAGUUAGUUUUAGGUUGGAUAUAUUUUCCUGUAAAUACAGCGGUGAAGUUAGUUUCAGGUUGGAUAUAUUUUCCUGUAAAUACCGCGGUGAAGUUAGUUUUAGGUUGGAUAUAUUCUCCUGUAAAUACGGCGUUGAAGUUAGUUUCAGGUUGGAUAUAUUUUCCUGUAAAUACGGCGGUGAAGUUAGUUUCAGGUUGGAUAUAUUUCCUGUAAAUACGGCGGUGAAGUUAGUUUUAGGUUGGAUAUUUUUUUUCCUGUAAAUACGGUGGUGAAGUUAGUUUCAGGUUGGAUAUAUUUUCCUGUAAAUACGGCGGUGAAGUUAGUUUUAGGUUGGAUAUAUUUUCCUGUAAAUACGGCGGUGAAGUUAGUUUCAGGUUGGAUAUAUUUUCCUGUAAAUACGGCGGUGAAGUUAGUUUCAGGUUGGAUAUAUUUUCCUGUAAAUACGGCGGUGAAGUUAGUUUCAGGUUGGAUAUAUUUUCCUGUAAAUACGGCGGUGAAGUUAGUUUUAGGUUGGAUAUUUUUUUUCCUGUAAAUACAGCGGUGAAGUUAGUUUUAGGUUGGAUAUAUUUUUUCCUGUAAAUAUGGCGGUGAAGUUAGUUUUAGGUUGGAUAUAUUUUCCUGUAAAUACGGUGGUGAAGUUAGUUUCAGGUUGGAUAUAUUUUCCUGUAAAUACGGCGGUGAAGUUAGUUUCAGGUUGGAUAUAUUUUCCUGUAAAUACGGCGGUGAAGUUAGUUUCAGGUUGGAUAUAUUUUCCUGUAAAUACGGCGGUGAAGUUAGUUUUAGGUUGGAUAUAUUUUCCUGUAAAUACGGCGGUGAAGUUAGUUUCAGGUUGGAUAUAUUUUCCUGUAAAUACAGUGGUGAAGUCAGUUUCAGGUCUGAUAUAUUUUCCUGUAAAUACGGCGGUGAAGUUAGUUUCAGGUUGGAUAUCUGACGGACAUUCUCUGAGGAUCUACCGGUGUCUUCUCACUCUCCAUAACUGGGAAUAACAACAGCAGCGCGGUUAAAUCUACUCGACACCCUCACUGUCAACGUCGGUGUUGAAUAAGGGACCGUCAAUAAAUUACCAGUUGAUGUUCUCAGAAAAGGCUGUUUUCCUUCAAUAGCUUCACUGUCAUGUGACCAAAAGACCUAAAAUUGAUUUCUAAUAAUCGUACUAAGGUCGAUCAAUAAGACAAACCGAUUUAUUUUCUAAUUUGUCCUCAAAAAAUUUCUGUGUUAAAUUUAAAGGGAAAUUUUGAACAUUUUCUUGAAUAGCUUCCAUUACAUGAGACCAAUUGACCUAAAAUUGAUAUUACUCAUGACGACCAAUAAGACAAACAUUAUUGAUCAGUUUUCAUUGAUCCCCUAAAGUUCUUUGUGCUCCUUUCUAGGAGAACGUGUAAAAAGAGUUAUUGUCCAGCCCUGGCUCAACACCAAAGGCUCUCACAGGCGUUCACUCUUCUACACACUCUUCUAUUACUGGUCCAUCUAUCAGCAUGGACUAUGACUCACCUGUGCUCUGUUAUUACAUGGUAAUAAGGGUUACAUUAACUCAGGAGACACCACCUGACAGAGCAGAGAGGGGAGCUCCAAGCCAAGUUUUCACCGGUCGAAGGAAGAUAAGGAGAUGAGCUUUUCCUCUGCCAGCGGGUCCAGCGAUAACGGAGCUCGUCUGGUUUGGCGUGGCUCGAUAAGGCUGGCUGUGCCAUCCUGUGGGGCUUAUCAAGUCCACCAGCAAGCCUCAACAGUCGGUCCCAGAGCCAGAAAAUGUUUAUGACUGAAGGCGUCAGUUGGUCUUUCUUGACUGUCGGUUGUGUAAGAGGAAAGAAAAUGCUGAUUUGGAUGAGUCUGUUUCUGCAGCGGCCUGAUGUGAGGAGUUAGGCCUACGACUGACCUAAAGGGACAAUCCCCCUAAUUUCUUUAAUGGAAAGACAUGAAGGAGGGAAAAAAGAGGAAGAAACUAAAACAAGAGCAUCGGGGCAGCUGGUGUGAACAGUGAGGGUAGGAAGAGUCUCCGGGAUCAGAAACAUCAGUCCGUCCAGACUGAGUCUGAGCCGUUAUCUCACCACAUCAGUGAGAUCACAGACAGGAUGCUGAAAACAAAAUCAAACCUUCUCCAUCUGAAGCUGCUCUCAUCCUCCUGGUCCUGUUUACUCAGAGUCUUUUCACAUUUACAGCCUCUUCACCUUCAACCAUCACAGAUACUCCACUUUAUUCCUCCUGACUCCAUCAACCGGAGUCCAACACCUCCAUGUCAGAGACUGAACAUGUGGCCCCCCAUCAUCGGAGGAGCAGGAUGGACCCUCAGAGAAACAGGGGCCUGUUGAUCCUGAAGUAGGACUGUGGAGAGAGAGCUCCUGCCUGAAGACGAGAGGCCCCAACAGACCAGCAACAGCCACCAAAAACAGGUCCACCUUCACCUGGGGGGGCGGGCUGAAGAGGACAGGAGACUAUGGCGUUGGUCCCCCCCCUGGAGUGCCUUUAACCCACAGACUGGUGGACAGAAGAACCUUGUCCUGUUUGAGGGACUGAUGCCUUCUCACUAGCUGCGUUUCUAUUACAUUUUUUCGCAAAAUAAAAGCGAUGUUUAUCAAAUUUCGACAAAGUACAAUUGCGAUUUGCGGGUGUUUCCAUUGAAUGGUGUUCAGUGCAUAAGCGAGCCGUCUGCCUCUCGCGAGCCGUGUUUAAAUGGCCGUUGCCUAGCAACGAGGUAAACUUCCUGCCCGUGCGACCUCGUAUUCCUUAAGCCUUUUUGCACACCAACAUGGACGAGACACAAAACAUUUUUCGUUUUGGAGCAGCUGUUUCUGUGACCAUUACUGCUGUUGCUGCUGCUGUCAUCAGAAGAUGAAGGCAGCGGGUGAUAAUUCAAAGGCAAAGCUCGUAUGUAUGGGAGCGAACAUGGAUGAGGGAUUUCUGGGAGAGAAUCGUUAAUGAGGAAUUCACAGACGAAUUGUGGAUUCAAAACUUCAGAAAAAUACAAAUACAAUUAAAAACUUCAGAAAUAAGUCCGUCUCCUCCCCCGUCCACAUAUACCGUGCCAUCUACGCUUGAAAUGAACUGGUCACUUGACCCGCUACGUCACGUCCGGUGACAGAGAAUUGCGAGAAAAGUGUUUCCAUUACACUUUUGCGAUAAACUUCUAUAUCGACACUUCUAAAAAACCACCACAUGAGAGCGUAAAAACUUUUUAGCGAUAUUUGGGAGGUUUUUCGAAAUGUAGGUGUUUCCAUUACCAGUUUUCUAUUGCGAUAUUUAGGUUUUGCGCAAAUCUAUGGGUAAUGGAAACGCAGCUACUGAGGAGGGGUCUCCUUCCUGUCAGCCUGUUGGACAGCUUCUCUCACUCAACGCCUCUCCAGCAAACGAGCAUCAACAAACAUUUAGACAGGAGGUCCCGAACCAGCAGAGGAGGAAAUGGUUGAAGUGGGAGUGGGCUUAUCCCAGUAACAACGCAACACACAACCCUGCGUUUCACUCCACAGCAACUGUGGAAGAAACGAAGUGGAGAGUGAGAGAGGACGACGAAGAGCGAGACAGGAAGUAUCGAGGUCUGAACUUCAGCAGAACUGAGACUGACUCCAAACACGGAGACCGAGUCCCAGACUUCACAGCAUCGAGUCCGAGGAGGACAACAGCAGCUGUGUCAGCAAGACUGUUCACAUGUUAACGUGUUCACAUAUGAACAUGGUUUAACAGUGACACGUUUACAUGUUCACACAUACACAGGUUGACAUGUUUACAGGUUGACUUUGUCGUGUCCUCAUCGUUGCUGAACAAACUGAGGAGGUAAAGUUCUGGUGGAGCGUCUGUAACCAUCAUGUGUGUAAGUUCACGUGUUCCUCCUCCCUCACCGUACUUCAGCGUGUUUCUGCUCUCGGUCAUAAAUUCACCGCUCGGGUCUUUACGUCUGCUUACUGCCGCAGUAAUCUGACCCAGACCUUCGCCCAGGCGGACAUCUACGCAGAAGAGAGGGCGUGCAUUCCUCUUCCUGGUCCGGGUGGAUCUGUUAGCCAUUAGCUGGUGUCAGACAGAUGCAGGGACCAAAUCCAUGAGCUUCACUCAGGAAUGGCGUGGUCAUGAAAGGGUCAAUCACUCACGGGUCAUUAUUUCAGCAGCAGGCCGUACAUUCCUGCUCUGACAGAUACGUGAUGGGUUCAGAGGUCAAGUUCAGGGCGGGGUUACUUCAUCGAAUCCUGUCGUUUAUCAAACAGACCUCAGAUCGGAGUUUUGAAAUCUUUGAUAAAGUUUCAACGACUCUUUCCUCCGACUGAAAAUUCGACAGGAGAUUCAUGAAACCAAGCACCCCGUGACCUCCACGGUGACCUCCGCGGUGACCUCCACGGUGACCUCUACGGUGACCUCUACGGUGACCUCCACGGUGACCUCCACGGUGACCUCCACGGUGACCUCCACAGUGACCUUCCAGACUGAGGCUCUCACAGACACAGACCCUGUGCUGGAUCUUCUUCCAAGUGUCUGUUCUGCUCAGACCCUGGUAUCUGGUACCGUGGGCCGGGAACCGCAGCCUGAUGGCGUUGGCGCCUCAGGUGUUGAACUGUCAGGAGUGAGCAAACACACAUGCUCUCCUAUAUACAGUCGGCGGGUUCUAUACGGCCCGGCCGUGUCAGCCUUACACCAUUAACAUUCCUCCCAUAAUAACUACCACAUGGACUGGAUCAGCACCAGAGGCCCGUCCUCCUGAUCCCACAGAACCCCUUCAUGUCUCUGAAUCCAUGUAUUUGAGGUGGAUUUUCUCAGACCUGUCGGGACUCUCUCCCCAGUGUUGAAAAGUUUAAUUUGGGCUCUAAAUUUAACGAGACUCGUUAAAAUCCGAGUGUACACAGCGCCCCUCCCAGCGGAGCGCUCUGCCUCGCCGCUCGCGUGAGAAGUCGUUUUCUAUCUUCCUGCCUUUUCUUCUUCACCGACGGGCAGGAGAGAGAGAGAGAGAGAGAGAGAGAGAGAGAGAGAGAGAGAGAGAGAGAGAGAGAGAGAGAGGAGAGAGAGAGAGAGAGAGAGAGAGAGAGAGAGAGAGAGAGAGAGAGAGAGAGAGAGAGAGAGAGAGAGAGAGAGAGAGAGAGAGAGAGAGAGAGAGAGAGAGAGAGAGAGAGAGAGAGACUCCUCUUGUUGUUGAGUCCAGGAUGUUUUUUUACUCUUUUUUUUGAACCCCCCCGAUUCUCUGUUUUCCUUUUUUCUACAGGAAGUCCUGGGCUGUGGUCCAAUCACUGAGUUUUCAUGAAGACGUGAUGAUAGCCGGGUGAUUGCUGCAUGAGGAAAGGGUGAAGUAAAGGCCUUCAUUUAAAGAAGCUGCGCUCGAUAAAGCUUCAAGUAGAACUUCAGUGCAGAGAGAGAGAGACCAGGAUGAGGUCCAGAGGAGGAAGCCGAGGAACCGGCUAUCAGAGGCUUUCAUCCAACAAAAACAGACGUGCUGGUCCUCUCUGCAUCAGGCAGGGUGGACCCACGUCUGUUCAGAUCAUCAAUCCAAGAAGCUCUCUGCGUCUCUCUGGAUGAGCUGGGCUCUGCUGACAAACAGCUGAUCUUUAUUUACCACACAAACACCUCGGCUCUCUCAGCGUUCUGUGCUCUUAGGCCUGUGGCGGCCUGGGACCAGACGGGGUUAUCUUUGUAAUUGAGGAAACUAGAAAGUAAAGCAAAGAUUUAUCUGUGAAGAAGUCCCAUGAUACCAAAACCCGCCCAAAUGUGCAGCAGCAGCCAGUGAAGCUAAGGUGCAGAAUGUGAGGACUUCAGGUCACAGUGAAGAGCACAGAGUCGGCCACAGUUAAAGGCUGUUUUACUGCCAAAGUUCCUGUCUGAAACCUCUGGGGGAUCAAAGUGGUCCCCCUCUUUAAGAUCAGGAUCAGGGGGUCUUCAGAGGGUCUCAUACUGGACGUCUUUCUGCUGUCGUAAAAAAAAGCACAUCUCUGCACUUUCUCUGUAUCAUGUUUUGCACAUGUGGUUUUGCUCCUGCAGCAUUCGUGCCGUACUCAGACGUCUCUGUCUGCGCUCGUUUUGACUGAUGUCUAACGCACAUUCUUCUGUAACCAUAUCGGCACGGCACUAAAUCCUCAACACACCUGUUAGAGCCGGGAGAGUCGAACCCCAGCCCCGGCCAGCUGCAGCAGAGUCAUCAGGACUGAGACGUACUUCUCUUCUCUACACUGAUCUGUGAGGGCCUCAGAGUUCGGGUUCGGCUCCUGAUUUACCUGGAAGUGUCAGAAUUUCCUGCUGAGUGUCUUUUUCGGCCUCUGAUACGAACACGUCAGGAAGCUUUGGACUUAUUUUGCACUUCUAUGUAACAUAAGAGACGCCGCUUUGUAAACACGA